RNAcentral lists this unclassified non-coding RNA (89 nucleotides) under Pseudomonas azotoformans. The record is from RNAcentral. Lineage: Bacteria; Pseudomonadati; Pseudomonadota; Gammaproteobacteria; Pseudomonadales; Pseudomonadaceae.
UGUGGGAGCGGGCUUGCUCGCGAAAGCGGUGUGUCAGUUAAAGAUGUUUUAACUGGUCCACCGCCUUCGCGAGCAAGCCCGCUCCCACA